RNA transcript from Trifolium pratense (red clover), 2026 nucleotides. It is a transcript of the gene named GDSL esterase/lipase 5-like, with no coding region annotated. Lineage: Eukaryota; Viridiplantae; Streptophyta; Magnoliopsida; Fabales; Fabaceae. The transcript is spliced from 6 exons. The record is from RefSeq and is a predicted model, not a curated record.
CAACAACUAUGGUCUAUAUGGCCUAUUUGAGAUUGAAGCUAUUAUGUGAAGAUAUAUGAUGAAGUUCACCAUAAGCUCUAUUUUCUUCAAUGUUUUUCUCAUUAUAACUCUUGUAUUUCAAACUCAUGCAAGCAAAAUCAAUUAUAGAAGCAACAAGUACAAAGCCUUAUUCAUUUUUGGAGAUUCUUUCUUAGAUGCUGGCAAUAACAAUUACAUAAACACCACAAGCCUUGAUCAAGCAAAUUUCUUGCCUUAUGGAGAAACCUAUUUCAAGUUCCCAACUGGUAGAUUCUCGGAUGGUCGUUUGAUAUCUGAUUUUAUUGCUGAAUACGCAAAUAUUCCACUAGUUCCACCAUUUCUACAACCUGGCUAUAACCAAUACUACAAUGGAGUGAAUUUUGCAUCUGGUGGAGCAGGUGCACUUGUUGAAACUUUCCAAGGGUCGGGAAUUCCUUUCAAAACACAAGCAAGAAACUUCAAGAAAGUAACAGCUUGGUUGAGGCACAAGUUAGGCAGUUCUGAUUCCAAAACAUUGUUAUCAAAUGCUGUCUACAUGUUUAGCAUUGGAUCUAAUGAUUAUCUUAGUCCAAUCUUGACAAAUUCUAAUGUUCUAAAGUACUAUUCUCAUUCAGAAUAUGUUAGCAUGGUUGUUGGUAACUUCACUUCCACUAUCAAGGAAAUACAUAAAAGUGGGGCUAGAAAAUUUGCAAUCUUGAACUUACCACCAUUAGGUUGUCUUCCAGGAACUAGAAUAAUUCAAUCACAAGGGAAAGUUAGCUGCUUAAAAGAGCUUUCAUCACUUACAAGUAUACAUAAUCAAGCUCUUUAUGUGGCUCUCUUAGAAUUGGAGAAACAAUUAAGGGACUUCAAAUUUACUCUCUAUGAUUUGAACUCUGAUAUCACUCAAAUGAUCAACGAUCCCUUAAAAUAUGGUUUGAAGGAAGGAAAAUCAGCAUGUUGUGGGAGUGGGUCAUUUAGAGGAAAAUAUAGUUGUGGUGGAAAAAGAGGAGAGAAACACUUUGAAUUAUGUCACAAACCAAAUGAACAUUUAUUUUGGGAUUCUUACCAUCUUACAGAAAAUGCUUAUAAACAAUUGGCAGCUCGAAUGUGGGAUCAUACUGGAAAUUCUCACACUAUUGGGAAUUAUAUUAUCAGUGAUUUCUUCCAAUAAACUCAGAAAUGUUUCAGAAGCUAGAGAAGCAGCUAAUGGGAUUCUAAUAAUCAAUCAAGUAAUGAAAUACCCUUCAAUUUAUGGCUUCAAAGAAGCAAGUAUAACACGUAGUGGAAGUGGCCCUUACAGAGGAGAAAGCAGGUGUGGAGCAGUGGAGGGAAGGAACAAAGGGAUAAAAGAAUGAGUUAUGUGAGUGACAAUGUGAGUGAACAUGUUUUCUUUGACUCUCAUCAUCCUACAGACUACAGACAAAGCUUAUCAAUAUUUCACCAAAUGGAUAUGGAAUGGAAAUGUCACAUGGCCUUGCAAGUUGCAAUCUAAAACACCUAUUGUAAAUUAUCAAUGAGGUUGAUGGUUCUCACUACACACUUCUCUGCUAAUCUAAAUUUCUUGAUAUAUGUUAUAAAAAAGAAAGUAAUUUGCUAAAUAUUAAUUAUGAUAUCUAGUUAAUAUUAGCUAAUCUCUGCAUGAAAGUGAAGUGGCCAGCAAUGUGACCACCCGAUCCAUCUGAAUGCAGAUCAUUCCAAGCGUGUUACUUACUUAUUUAUGACCUCGACAAAUAAUAUGAUGAAAAGAAUAGGCCUAGAACAAACAAGUACAAAAUCACAAUAAUGGCAGAUGCAAACACUAAUUGCAAUAGCAAUCCACAUAAGAUACACAUCAUUCUCAGAACUAAGACAAAGUGUGCGAACUAACAUUAUAGCCAGUUUUGGUUCUUUCUUGUGUGCAAUGUUGCUUAUCAUUCUCAGAACAGUAAGUUGCUAUUCUGCUAAGCCUAACAAAAGGGAACAACACUAAGCCACUAAGUUUGGUCUAGUGGCGAGGGGUUUGAGUAGUAUGCAUGAUGUCUUAGGU